GGGUAUGUAGCUCAGCGGAAGAGCGCUCGCCUCACACGCGAGCGGUCGCAGGUUCGAACCCUGCCAUACCCACCA
Molecule: transfer RNA, 75 nt
Filed under: Endomicrobium sp.
Lineage: Bacteria; Pseudomonadati; Elusimicrobiota; Endomicrobiia; Endomicrobiales; Endomicrobiaceae
Description: tRNA-Val
Rfam family: tRNA
About the family: Transfer RNA (tRNA) molecules are approximately 80 nucleotides in length. Their secondary structure includes four short double-helical elements and three loops (D, anti-codon, and T loops).
Source: RNAcentral